This 710-nucleotide ribosomal RNA is filed under the name uncultured Enterobacteriaceae bacterium. RNAcentral describes it as "bacterial SSU rRNA". It matches the Rfam family "Bacterial small subunit ribosomal RNA", at positions 792 to 1502 of the family's 1533-position model. The record is from RNAcentral. Lineage: Bacteria; Pseudomonadati; Pseudomonadota; Gammaproteobacteria; Enterobacterales; Enterobacteriaceae.
AGUCCACGCUGUAAACGAUGUCGAUUUGGAGGUUGUUCCCUUGAGGAGUGGCUUCCGGAGCUAACGCGUUAAAUCGACCGCUGGGGAGUACGGCCGCAAGGUUAAAACUCAAAUGAAUUGACGGGGGCCCGCACAAGCGGUGGAGCAUGUGGUUUAAUUCGAUGCAACGCGAAGAACCUUACCUACUCUUGACAUCCAGAGAAUUUAGCAGAGAUGCUUUAGUGCCUUCGGGAACUCUGAGACAGGUGCUGCAUGGCUGUCGUCAGCUCGUGUUGUGAAAUGUUGGGUUAAGUCCCGCAACGAGCGCAACCCUUAUCCUUUGUUGCCAGCACAUUAUGGUGGGAACUCAAAGGAGACUGCCGGUGAUAAACCGGAGGAAGGUGGGGAUGACGUCAAGUCAUCAUGGCCCUUACGAGUAGGGCUACACACGUGCUACAAUGGCGUAUACAAAGAGAAGCGACCUCGCGAGAGCAAGCGGAACUCAUAAAGUACGUCGUAGUCCGGAUUGGAGUCUGCAACUCGACUCCAUGAAGUCGGAAUCGCUAGUAAUCGUAGAUCAGAAUGCUACGGUGAAUACGUUCCCGGGCCUUGUACACACCGCCCGUCACACCAUGGGAGUGGGUUGCAAAAGAAGUAGGUAGCUUAACCUUCGGGAGGGCGCUUACCACUUUGUGAUUCAUGACUGGGGUGAAGUCGUAACAAGGUAACCA